RNAcentral lists this ribosomal RNA (301 nucleotides) under uncultured bacterium. RNAcentral describes it as "partial 16S ribosomal RNA". It matches the Rfam family "Bacterial small subunit ribosomal RNA", at positions 509 to 807 of the family's 1533-position model. The record is from RNAcentral.
CAGUAGCCGCGGUAAUACAGAGGGUGCGAGCGUUAAUCGGAUUUACUGGGCGUAAAGCGUGCGUAGGUGGUGGUUUAAGUCCGUUGUGAAAGCCCUGGGCUCAACCUGGGAAUUGCAGUGGAUACUGGGUCACUAGAGUGUGGUAGAGGAUAGUGGAAUUUCCGGUGUAGCAGUGAAAUGCGUAGAGAUCGGAAGGAACAUCUGUGGCGAAGGCGACUAUCUGGGCCAACACUGACACUGAGGCACGAAAGCGUGGGGAGCAAACAGGAUUAGAGACCCCUGUAGUCCCUGUCUCUUAUAC